CACGUAGGGGGCAAGCGUUGUCCGGAUUUAUUGGGCGUAAAGAGCUCGUAGGUGGCUCGGCAAGUCGGGUGUUAAACCCCCAGGCUCAACCUGGGGACGCCAUUCGAUACUGGGCGGCUAGAGUCUGGUAGGGGGAUCUGGAAUUCCUGGUGUAGCGGUGGAAUGCGCAGAUAUCAGGAGGAACACCGGUGGCGAAGGCGGGAUCCUGGGCCAGUACUGACGCUGAGGAGCGAAAGCGUGGGGAGCGAUCCGG
Molecule: ribosomal RNA, 253 nt
Filed under: uncultured bacterium
Lineage: Bacteria
Description: partial 16S ribosomal RNA
Rfam family: Bacterial small subunit ribosomal RNA
Source: RNAcentral